RNAcentral lists this ribosomal RNA (251 nucleotides) under uncultured bacterium. RNAcentral's name for it is "partial 16S ribosomal RNA". It matches the Rfam family "Bacterial small subunit ribosomal RNA", at positions 524 to 776 of the family's 1533-position model. The record is from RNAcentral.
GACGGGGGGGGCAAGUGUUCUUCGGAAUGACUGGGCGCAAAGGGCACGUAGGCGGUGAAUCGGGUUGAAAGUGAAAGUCGCCAAAAAGUGGCGGAAUGCUCUCGAAACCAAUUCACUUGAGUGAGACAGAGGAGAGUGGAAUUUCGUGUGUAGGGGUGAAAUCCGUAGAUCUACGAAGGAACGCCAAAAGCGAAGGCAGCUCUCUGGGUCCCUACCGACGCUGGGGUGCGAAAGCAUGGGGAGCGAACAGG